AAUCGUCAUGAACUGGGAGUGAAGAACUCUGAGGCCAAGUUGUAACAGAGAACUAACCUGGAGGGAUUGUUACACAAGGCAGACAUCACCUUCUAUUUUGUUAAUCUAAUGAUGUAUCACAGCGUGCUCGUUAGCAAGCUCUGCCUUUAUUAGUACAAGACAGUCAAGCCAAGAGUGAGGGUACAGAUGGGCAAUUGGAAGUUUUCUUUUUCAUUUACCAAUUACUCUGCUUAAAGAAGUAUGUGAGGAGCGUUGAGAGUUCCCAAGGUGCGAGAGAGACGGCGGGC
This 287-nucleotide long non-coding RNA is filed under the name Mus caroli (Ryukyu mouse). RNAcentral describes it as "lncRNA (MGP_CAROLIEiJ_G0006306.1)". Lineage: Eukaryota; Metazoa; Chordata; Mammalia; Rodentia; Muridae. The record is from RNAcentral.